RNAcentral lists this non-coding RNA (124 nucleotides) under Paramoeba aestuarina. The record is from RNAcentral. Lineage: Eukaryota; Discosea; Flabellinia; Dactylopodida; Paramoebidae.
UGUUUUUUGUUUUGUUUUUUUUUUUAUUUUAUUUGUAUACUCAACCAAGCUUUUGUUAACCUUAUCUAUGUAAGGGGAGAGAGGGGGAAGGGGGGAAGGUAAAGAAGAGAGACACAACAACAAG